RNAcentral lists this ribosomal RNA (269 nucleotides) under uncultured archaeon. RNAcentral describes it as "partial 16S ribosomal RNA". It matches the Rfam family "Archaeal small subunit ribosomal RNA", at positions 555 to 823 of the family's 1478-position model. The record is from RNAcentral.
UAGCUUAACUGUGGGAAUUGCUGGAGAUACUAUUAGACUUGAGACCGGGAGAGGUUAGAGGUACUCCCAGGGUAGAGGUGAAAUUCUGUAAUCCUGGGAGGACCGCCUGUUGCGAAGGCGUCUAACUGGAACGGUUCUGACGGUGAGGGACGAAAGUUAGGGGCGCGAACCGGAUUAGAUACCCGGGUAGUCCUAACUGUAAACGAUGCGGACUUGGUGUUGGGGUGGCUUUGAGCUGCUCCAGUGCCGAAGGGAAGCUGUUAAGUCCG